Molecule: unclassified non-coding RNA, 2490 nt
Filed under: Hevea brasiliensis (rubber tree)
Lineage: Eukaryota; Viridiplantae; Streptophyta; Magnoliopsida; Malpighiales; Euphorbiaceae
Source: RNAcentral
UGCAUGAUUUGUUGCAAGAAAUGGGGCAAAAGAUUGUUUGGAAAGAAUCACCCGAUGAGCCAGGAAAGCGCAGCAGGUUAUGGGUUGAUGAUGAUGUCUAUCAUGUGUUAACUGAAAAUUUAGGAACAGAAGCAGUUGAAAUGAUGACUUUCAACUUAUUUAAACAAAAUGAGGUAAACUUGGGUGCCAAAGCCUUCUCAAAGAUGCGCAAACUAAGACUCCUCAAAAUCUCGAGUUUACAACUUUCCCAAGGCUUAGAUUUCCUUUCUAAUGAGAUAAGACUUCUUGAAUGGCAUGGAUACCCUUUGAAAUCUCUGCCAUUAUGCUUCAAACCAGAAAAACUUGUUGAACUGGACAUGCCUUGCAGCUGCAUCAAACAACUGUGGAAUGGAACCAUAACUUUAGAGAGGUUAAAAUUUGUCAAUCUCAGCCAUUCAGAAGCCCUAAUAAGAACCCCUGAUCUCACUGGGGCUCCAAACCUUGAGAAACUAAUUCUUGAAGGUUGUACAAGUUUAGUAGAAGUUCACCCAUCAAUUUGGCUUCUCAAAUGGCUCAUCAUCUUAAAUAUGAAAGAUUGCAGAUGCCUUCAUACGCUUCCCAUCAGCAUUGAAAUGCAAUCUUUACAAGUUCUUAAUCUCUCUGGCUGCUUUAAAUUGAAAAAGUUCCCUGAAAUUGAAGGAAAUAUGGAACACUUAUCAGAGCUGUAUUUAGAUGGGACUGCUAUUGAAGAACUACCAUUGUCAAUUGAACAUCUCACUGGCCUUGUCCUGUUGAAUCUAUCAAAUUGCAAAAACCUUGUCAGUCUUCCAAGCAGCAUUUGUCAUUCCAAUUCUCUUAAAACUCUCGCUCUUUCUGGCUGCUCAAAACUUGAUCAGUUGCCAGAGAAGUUGGGAAAUGUGGAAUGCUUGGAGGAACUUGAUAUCAGUGGGACGGCCAUGAGGCAAAUGCCAUCUUCCAUUGCCCUCUUGAAAAACCUCAAGACAUUAUCUUUUCGGGGAUGUGGAGUCCAACCACCUAAACCAUGGAGUUCUCUUCUUAGCAACUUUCUGCUUCCAAGAAAAAGUGCAGAUUCCAGGUCUUUGUUGUUGCCUUCCUUGUCAAGUUUGCAAUCCUUGACAUUACUAAAUCUAAGCAAUUGCAAUUUGCCGGAAGGUGUAGUUCCGAGUGAUCUUGGUUCCUUAUCAUCGUUAAAGAUAUUGGAUUUAAGUGAUAAUGAAUUUGUUAGUCUACCCGUGAGCAUCAGUCAACUAUCAAGGCUUGAAGCCCUUCACUUGGAGGGUUGCAAAAGGCUUCAAUCACUGCCAGAUCUCCCAGCAAAUGUAGAAUUUGUAGGGGCAGAUGAUUGUAUUGAGCUGGAAAAUUUCCCAAAUCCUCUAAAGUUGAGCACUUCGGAGCGUUCAAGAUUUAAUCUUUUCAAUUGCCAUAGAUUGGUUGAUGAUCACAACUACAGUAUUUGGGCAUGGACAUGGCUGAAAACAUAUCUUAAGGGACUUCCUCGUCCAACAAACAGUUUUGAUGUUUGUCUUCCUGGAAGUGAAAUUCCAGAAUGGUUCAUAAAUCAGAGCAUGGGAUCUUCAGUAAGUAUAGAUCUACUCCCGCAUUGGAAUGAUAGUGAUCUGAUGGGAUUUGCUAUGUGUGCUAUUUUUAGACUUCGACGUCUAGCUUCUUUCAAUUAUAGAAGAUCUGACUAUCAUAGGCCAAAAAAUGUUGUUCUAGCUUGUUUCUUUAUGAAUGAAAAAGGUGAGUUCCUCUUCAACAAUCACGCAAGAGCCUGGUUCCCUACCUGUAGCUUAGUGAAAAAUUGUGCCCAAAUUGGGUCAGAUCACCUUUGGCUGCUUUUUAGACGCUCAUACCUUGACAAGGACUCACUGAAUGAACUUAAUCGCAUUAAGGUUUCGUUUAGGGGCCAACCAGGAUCUGAUUGGGACUUGGAAAUUAGGAAGUGUGCAGUCCGCCUUGUAUAUUCACAAGACUUGGAAGAGUUGAACCAAACAAUCAUCAGCAACUCUUUAAAUGAGGAUAUGGACAUCCUCUGUGAUGAUUUUGACUCAUCAAGAAAUGGAUCGACUGGGCAAAACUUUAAUGACUCAGAGCCUGGCGGAAGUAGAAACUCCACAGAAGAAGAACAACCUAAAAGACUUUGAAAGAUUUGAAUUUGUAUUUAUUUUUAAGUUGACAGAAACUAUCAUUGGAGGAAAGGGCCUUAAUCAAACCUUUAUUACCAUGCUUGUUUUCAGGAAUGUUGGGAAAACCUUAUUGUCUGCUUUGUUAUUUUGAUAUUUAUUGUAUGGUUUUUGUUCAUUUCACAAUUAAAAUCUUUAUUAUCAACAGAUUUGGAAAAUGAUGGCUUCUUUUGUUCAGUGAUAUGUUUUACCUUCAUGUGUUUGUUCACCCAUUGGCUUAGAUGGAAAUAAUGGGAGUCAUUGGUCAGAUAUUUGUGCAUUGGUCGUGUAUUUUGACUGCCUAGACACUUAUUUGCACGUUCUGUGG